UGUAAGCGUAUACCAAAGUUGUUGCAGUUAAAACGCUCGUAGUCGGAAUUUGGCAGUUCCGGAUGUGUGCACGUCGUGUGCGCACUUCGCGGGGAUUGCUUUUGUGGUCUUGCGUAGGAUGAGGCACUUUUAUUAGUGAACGUCCUCACGCAACCACUUUUUACUGUGAGAAAAUCAGAGGGCUCAAAGCAGGCAUUUGCCGUGAAUGUAUUAGCAUGGAAUAAUAGAAUAGGACUUGGUUCUAUUUUGUUGGUUUGUUGGGACUGAGUAAUGAUUAAGAGGGACAGUUGGGGGCAUUUGUAUUUCGGUGCUAGAGGUGAAAUUCUUAGAUUACCGAAAGACAAACUGCUGCGAAAGCGUCUGCCAAGGAUGUUUUCAUUGA
This 382-nucleotide ribosomal RNA is filed under the name uncultured eukaryote. RNAcentral describes it as "partial 18S ribosomal RNA". It matches the Rfam family "Eukaryotic small subunit ribosomal RNA", at positions 592 to 976 of the family's 1831-position model. The record is from RNAcentral.